This 1080-nucleotide long non-coding RNA is filed under the name Homo sapiens (human). RNAcentral's name for it is "HSALNT0349229". The record is from RNAcentral. Lineage: Eukaryota; Metazoa; Chordata; Mammalia; Primates; Hominidae.
AGCGUAUGAAGUGCGACGAGCAAGGAAUAUAGAUAAAAAUGAGGGGUAGAAGGUGGUCAAUAGGCAGCAGGCACCAAGGAGCUUUCCACUGUGGGCUGACCGAGGAAGCUGCCCUCUUACUGAAGAUGAGCUUGAAAAAGAUCAAGGAAAUGAAAAUAAAACAAAAAAAAAAAAAAAACAAAAAAAAACUUGCAAUUACACUCUUCCACCACUAGAUGCUAUACACGUAUAAGCAAGAUAAAAGUCCUCCGCCAUUUCUUUUCCCCAUCAGUGACCUCAGUGAUGAAUGGCCAACCAUAGCCUUGCUAUAUCCUGGGGUCUUGGAUAAUGUAGAAGAGUAAAAUCUAAGUCUUGCUUACAGAAUCUGAAGAAACUCUUCUGACUUCAAAGCUCAAUUCUGUGCCAUGGAAAUCAGAUAUACUAUAUCAUAUCUCAACUUAAGUGCAAAGGAGCAAACUCUGGCAAAACUUUAUGUAAAGGAAGAACUUUCUCCUCUUCUCUCCCCAUAUCAUCAUAGCAGCUACAUCCUACAAACACACAGCGGCUGUUAUCAGAAAUCAACUUGUGAAAGUCACCUCUACCCAUAGAUGAGGUUGUGAUGGUUUCAUCCAAAUGAUUUUAUGGCCUGUGAAGCAGUCAUUUGGAUCAAGGUUAACAAAUUCUUGGUAUCAGAGGUGCUACUGAGGACUCCACAUACCGAUACCAAUAAAUAAUGUCCAUACAACGAAGGUGGUGUUGGUUGAUACGGUUUGGAUCUGUGUCCCCACCCAAAUCGCAUGUUGAAUUGUAAUCCCCCAGUAUUGGAGGUGGGGCCUGGUGGGAGGUAACUGGAUCAUGGGGUUGGAUUUCCCUAUUGCUGUUCUCAUGAUAGUGAGUGAGUUGUCAUGAGAUCUGGUUGUUUAAAAGUGUGUAAUACCUCCCACUCACCUUCCUCCUGCUGUGGCCAUGGAAGAUGUGCCUCCUUCACCUUCCACCAUGACUGUGUUUCCUGAGGCCUUCCCAGAAACUGAGCAGAUGCCACCAUGCUUCCUGUACAAUCUACAGAACCUUGAGCCAAUUAAACCUUUUUUUUAUAAAUUA